GAUGAACGCUGGCGGCGUGCCUAAUACAUGCAAGUCGAGCGAACAGACGAGGAGCUUGCUCCUCUGCCGUUAGCGGCGGACGGGUGAGUAACACGUGGAUAACCUACCUAUAAUACUGGGAUAACUUCGGGAAACCGGAGCUAAUACCGGCUCAUAUAUUGAACCGCAUGGUUCAAUAGUUAAAGACGCUUUUCCUGUCACUUAUAGCUGGAUCCGCGUUGGAUUAGCUAGUUGGUAAGGUAACGGCUAACCAAGGCAACGAUGCGUAGCCGAUCUGAGAGGAUGAUCGGCCACACUGGAACUGAGACACGGUCCAGACUCCUACGGGAGGCAGCAGUGGGGAAUAUUGGACAAUGGGAGAAAGCCUGAUGGAGAAAUACCGCGUGGGUGAAGAAGGUCUUCGGGUCGUAAAACCCUGUUGUUGGGAAAGAAAAGAUGUAGAAGAAAAAAUGGAUGUGUUGACGGUACCAAAAGAAAAAGCACCGGCUAACUUCGUG
This 497-nucleotide ribosomal RNA is filed under the name uncultured bacterium. Its description in RNAcentral is "partial 16S ribosomal RNA". It matches the Rfam family "Bacterial small subunit ribosomal RNA", at positions 28 to 507 of the family's 1533-position model. The record is from RNAcentral.